Molecule: ribosomal RNA, 447 nt
Filed under: Triticum aestivum (bread wheat)
Lineage: Eukaryota; Viridiplantae; Streptophyta; Magnoliopsida; Poales; Poaceae
Description: partial small subunit ribosomal RNA
Source: RNAcentral
GGAGCUCGAUACUGUUUUUUGAUCUUGUAUGUCGAUGACAUAUUGUUGAUCGGGUAUGAUGUUUCGAUGCUGAAAUCGGUCAGGGAGUCAUUGAAUGGCAAGUUUUCAAUGAAGGACCUUGGUGAGGCAGUGUAUAUUUUAGGCAUUAAGAUCUAUAGAGAUAGCUCGAGGAGGCUGCUCGGAUUAAGCCAGAGCACGUACAUAGAUAAAGUGUUGAAGCAGUUCAACAUGAGUGAGGCGAAGAGAGGGUUCUUGCCACACUCACAUGGUAUAAGGCUAAGUGAGACUCAGAGUCCUUCGACAUCUGAUGAGCGAAGCAAGAUAAGUAGGAUUUCGUAUGCAUCGGCAAUCAGAUCCAUCAUGUAUGCCAUGAUAUGUACAAGGCCUGAUGUUGCUUUUGCAAUAAGCCUAACAAGCAGAUACCAGGCCAACCCAGGUGAGAGUCAC